GACGAACGCUGGCGGCGUGCUUAACACAUGCAAGUCGAACGGAAAGGCCCUGCUGUUGUGGGGUGCUCGAGUGGCGAACGGGUGAGUAACACGUGAGUAACCUGCCCCUGACUUUGGGAUAACUUCUGGAAACUGGGGCUCAUACCGGAUAGGAGCUCCUGCUGCAUGGUGGGGGUUGGUAAGUUUCGGCGGUUGUGGAUGGACUCGCGGCUUAUCAGCUUGUUGGUGGGGUAGUGGCUUACCACGGCUUUGACGGGUAGCCGGCCUGAGAGGGUGACCGGCCACAUGGGGACUGGGAUACGGCCCAGACUCCUACGGGAGGCAGCAGUGGGGAAUAUUGCACAAUGGCCGGAAGCCUGAUGCAGCAACGCCGCGUGCGGGAUGACGGCCUUCGGGUUGUAAACCGCUUUCGCCUGUGACGAAGCGUGAGUGACGGUAAUGGGUAAAGAAGCACCGGCUAACUACGUG
Molecule: ribosomal RNA, 468 nt
Filed under: uncultured bacterium
Lineage: Bacteria
Description: partial 16S ribosomal RNA
Rfam family: Bacterial small subunit ribosomal RNA
Source: RNAcentral